RNAcentral lists this ribosomal RNA (464 nucleotides) under uncultured bacterium. RNAcentral describes it as "partial 16S ribosomal RNA". It matches the Rfam family "Bacterial small subunit ribosomal RNA", at positions 28 to 503 of the family's 1533-position model. The record is from RNAcentral.
GACGAACGCUGGCGGCGUGCUUAACACAUGCAAGUCGAACGGAAAGGCCCUGCUUUUGUGGGGUGCUCGAGUGGCGAACGGGUGAGUAACACGUGAGUAACCUGCCCUUGACUUUGGGAUAACUUCAGGAAACUGGGGCUAAUACCGGAUAGGAGCUCCUGCUGCAUGGUGGGGGUUGGAAAGUUUCGGCGGUUGGGGAUGGACUCGCGGCUUAUCAGCUUGUUGGUGAGGUAGUGGCUUACCCAGGCUUUGACGGGUAGCCGGCCUGAGAGGGUGACCGGCCACAUUGGGACUGAGAUACGGCCCAGACUCCUACGGGAAGCAGCGGUGGGGAAUAUUGCACAAUGGGCGGAAGCCUGAUGCAGCAACGCCGCGUGCGGGAUGACGGCCUUCGGGUUGUAAACCGCUUUCGCCUGGGACGAAGCGUGAGUGACGGUAAUGAGUAAAGAAGCACCGGCUAACUA